ACACCACUUGAAACAAGCAACUGCCUAGCUAAACUGGUCUGAUGCUUUACCUAUACAGCAUAGGUCGUGGGUUCGAAGCUGCAUUGCUUCAUUUAUUGUUCAAAAUUUUUGUGACCUCUUUGAAGCAAAGAUGAAUUUUAGCCAGCCGAUCAGCAAUCAAUUUGCUUCAUUUUUGUGACAAUAAAUUACUAGGCUUAUAAGUUGUACGUACUAUUUGUUCCAAUAAAAUUGAUUAAGAACAUCAAACGAACUUUUAGUAAUUAGGCACGUAGUAUUUUUUCCAAUAAAAUUGAUUAAGAACAUCAAACGAACUUUUAGUAAUUAGGCACUUUAUACAGAAAAAUAAUAUUUAGUAAUUUUUCUAAUGAAGUUUGAAUACUUUUCUAAAAACAAAAUUCAUCGAAAAGAAUUUUAAUAUAUUUGGGUUGUGUU
This 432-nucleotide long non-coding RNA is filed under the name Nicotiana benthamiana. RNAcentral's name for it is "long non-coding RNA (NBEN_LNC013884)". The record is from RNAcentral. Lineage: Eukaryota; Viridiplantae; Streptophyta; Magnoliopsida; Solanales; Solanaceae.